RNAcentral lists this transfer RNA (72 nucleotides) under Camelus bactrianus (Bactrian camel). It matches the Rfam family "tRNA". From Rfam's summary of the family: Transfer RNA (tRNA) molecules are approximately 80 nucleotides in length. Their secondary structure includes four short double-helical elements and three loops (D, anti-codon, and T loops). RNAcentral also lists the same sequence under 1 other name. Lineage: Eukaryota; Metazoa; Chordata; Mammalia; Artiodactyla; Camelidae. The record is from Rfam by way of RNAcentral.
GGGGGGAUAGCUCAGUGGUAGAGCGCGUGCUUAGCAUGCAGGAGGUCCUGGGCUCAAUUCCCAGUACCUCCG